CGCCUAGAUGCUGAGUUGAAGCUGGUUGGUGAGUAUGGCCUCCGCUGCAAGCGUGAGCUGUGGCGCGUGCAGUAUGCCCUGAGCCGUAUCAGGAAUGCAGCCAGGGAGCUGCUCACCCUGGAUGAGAAGAACCCACGCCGUAUCUUUGAGGGCGAGGCACUCCUCCGCCGCAUGAACCGAUAUGGUCUCCUUGGCGAGGGACAGAACAAGCUUGAUUAUGUGCUUGCCCUCACUGUUGAGAACUUUCUCCAGCGCCGCCUCCAGACCAUCGUCUUCAAGAAUGGCAUGGCCAAGUCCAUCCACCAUGCUCGUGUUCUGAUCAGGUAGCGCCAUAUCAGGGUGGGGAGGCAGCCCGUCAACAUUCCCUCGUUCAUGGUCAGGGUCGAGUCAGAGAAGCACAUCGACUUCUCCCUCACCAGUCCUCUGGGUGGUGGUCCUGCUGGAAGGGUGAAGCGCAAGAACCAGAAGGCCUCUGGCGGCGGUGGCGGCGGCGAUGGCGAGGAGGACGACGAGUAGUGCUACGUAGGAUUCUGCGACAUCAAUUGGUUGAAAUGUGAGAUGGACACUCUAGAUUAUUGUGUGGUCUUCAAUUCAGAAAUCCUGCGAUGGUAAACAAUUUUGCAGCCCGCUACUGACACUCUUGUUUAAUUCAAGCAUUGGCAUCGUGUCCGGACACCAUGAAUUGUAUUCUUGUUUGCGUGGCUAUUUGCUCGUCUAGCCUUUAGGUCAAUGUUUAAGACUGAAUCAAAUUGGUAGCCAAGUUUGCAUUCUU
RNA transcript from Zea mays, 772 nucleotides. It is a transcript of the gene named 40S ribosomal protein S9-2 pseudogene, with no coding region annotated. The transcript has 2 exons. NCBI's taxonomy places the organism in Eukaryota, Viridiplantae, Streptophyta, Magnoliopsida, Poales, Poaceae. The record is from RefSeq and is marked validated.